This 74-nucleotide transfer RNA is filed under the name Penaeus monodon (black tiger shrimp). Its description in RNAcentral is "tRNA-Ile". It matches the Rfam family "tRNA". Rfam says of the family: Transfer RNA (tRNA) molecules are approximately 80 nucleotides in length. The record is from RNAcentral. Lineage: Eukaryota; Metazoa; Arthropoda; Malacostraca; Decapoda; Penaeidae.
AGUCUCAUAGCUCAGCUGGUUAGAGCGCUACACUGAUAAUGUAGAGGUCGGCAGUUCGAGUCCGCCCGAGACUA